GCGCUCGCAGAUUAAGCCUGAGCGGAGCCCAGGGGCACGCGCGGCUCGGCGGCGGCUGGGGCGGCUCGGCGGGGGUCCCGGCGUGGACACCGAGAGGGUGCCCUUUCCUCGCGGCGAACUGGGAGCGACUGGGAGAUGGGGAUGCAGAGGACGGAAGAAGUACAGUGACUUGAUCAAUCUCUUACAGCAUUAGGGGCAGAAUUUGACCUGACCUUUUGGACCUUUUCUUGUCAACCCCAAGCAAGCAGAGAGCAUGAAGAAGUUGAAUGACCUAACAGGUUGCUUUGUCCACCUGAGAUUCUGGCAUGUAGACGCCUCUUCCUGAGUCGGACUUUGUAUGUGGUCCUCUGGGGGCAGACAAGUAGGUAGGAAUGAAGCAUGAGAAAAAUUGUCAUUCCUUUUCAAGGUACUUACCUCAGAUGAAGUCAUAAGGAUUUUUUUAAAUAUGUUUUAUUGAUUUUUUUUUUCAGAGAGGAAGGGAGAGGAAUAGAGAGUUAGAAACAUCAAUGGGAGAGAAACAUUGAUCAGCUGCCUCCUGCACACCUCCUACUGGGGAUGUGCCCGCAACCAAGGUACAUGCCCUUAGCCGGAAUCGAACCCGGGACCUUUCAGUCCGCAGGCCGACGCUCUAUCCACUGAGCCAAACCAGCUAGGGCAUCACAAGGAUUUUUAAGCAAGGUGGGACCAGACCUGGCAGAUGGGGAUGGAGGGGGCUGUUUCUGUUGCCAAGGGGGUUUUAGUGGUGUUUGGAGAUUUAAAGAAGGAGUCAGCAAACUCUGAUCAGUGGGCCAAAUGCGCCCACUGCCUGUUUUUAUAAAUAAAGUUUUGAUGAAACAUAGGCACACUCAUUUAUUUAUUGUCUCAGCAUGCUUUUGCUCUACAUGACAAGAGUUGAGUAGUUACUGACAUUGGAUGGCUUUCAAAGCCUAAAGUCUUUACUAUCUGAUCCUUUAGAAAAGGUUUGACAACCCCUGCCUCACACCAUACACACCAAAAAUUAACUCAAAAUGUAGCAUAGACCUAAAUGUAAAACCUAAAACUGACAAGAAAAGUACAAGGAGAAAGUCUUUUUGACUCAAGAUCACAAAGAUUUCUUUGCUAUCACACCAAAAGUAAAAUUAUUAUUUUAAAAUGCUUUUAUUAAAUUGGACUUCAUCAAAAUUAAGAACUCCUCAAAAGACACUAUUAAAUUAAUGAAAAUACAAGCCACAGACUGGGAGAAAUUAUUUGCAAAUAACCCAUGUGAUAAAGGAUGUGGAUGCAGCAUCUAAGAGAACUCUAAACUCAGUAAUGAGAAAACAACCCAGUAACAAUGGGCAAGAGAUUUGAACAGACACAUUAUCAAAAAUAGGUGAAAAUAUAUAGAUAACACAUAAGGACAAGAAAGGAUCCUCAGCAUCAUUCAUCAUCAGGAAAAAGCAAAUUAAAAUCACGAGAUACCUCUGCAGACCUACUAGAUGGCUACAAUUAAAGAGCGAUCACACCAAGUGUGAGGCAGGACACGGAGCAGCUGAAACUCCCACUGCUGGUGGGAUGUGAAGCGGUAUAACCACAGGGAAACAGCCAGGCAGCUUCUUAAAAAGUUACACAUACCAUAUAACCCAUCAAUUUCACUCCUAGGUAUUUACCCAAGAAAAAUGAGAGCUUAUAACCAUAUUUCCACACAAGGACCUGUACAUUAAUGUUCAUAGCAGCUUUGCUCAUAACUAGAAACAAUCCAAAUAUUCAUCAACAAGUGAAUAAACAAAUGUUUGUAUAUCCAUGCAAUAGAAUACUACUCAUCAAUAAGAGGGAAUGAACUAUUGACACACUCAACAACAUGAAUAAACCUCAAAUUGAUUGUCAUAAUUAUCCUGAGGAUAAUUUAUAUCCUGUGGUUAUACUGCCAGACAAAAGUGAGUAUAGCCCUGGCCAGUGUGGCUCAGUUGGUUGAGCAUUGUCCCAUACACCAGAGGGUCUAUUCCUGGUCAGGUUACAUGCCAAGGUUGCAGGCUUGAUCCCCAGUAGGGGGCAUGCAGGAAGCAGCCGGUUGAUGCUUCUCUCUCACAUUGAUAUUUCUCUUCUUCUCCCUAAAAAACUUUUAAAAUAAAUAAAUAAUAAAAAAAUAAAAGUGAGUAUAUACUGUAUGCUUCCAUUUAUUAAACAUUCUAUAAAAUGCAAAUUAACCUAUAGUGAACGAAAGCAGAUCUGUGGUUACCUGGGAAUGGCAAGGGGCAAGGAAGAGCAGGAAGGAUUGAUUACAAAGGGGCACAAAGACGCUUGUCAGUAACGGAUGUACAUGGUCUUGUGAUGGUGUCACAGGUAUGUGUUUGUGUGUGUGUGUGUGUGUGUGUGUGUGUAUGUCAAAACAUGAAAUUGUACAUUUUAAAUAUAUGCCAUUUAUUGUAUGUCAAUAUACAUAGCUAUAUUGACAACAAAGCUAUUUGUUAUUAUUUUAAAAUAUAUUUUUAUUGAUUUGGUAGAGGGAGAUAGAGAUAGAAACAUCUUUGAUGAGAGGAUCACCAAUCAGCUGCCUCCCACACACCCUACACUGGGGAUCAAACUGUGACCUCCAGGUUCAUAGGUCAAUGCUCAACCACUGAGCCAUGCUGGCUGGGUGACAAUAAAGUUAUUUUUAAAACAUUUUUUUAUUUUUCUAUUUUAGUUGACAUACAAUAUUAUAUUAGUUUCAGGUGUAAAACAUAGUGAGUAGACAUUUAUAGAGCUUAUGAAGUGAUCACUGGUUAAGUCUAAUAACCAUCCGACACUAUAUUAAAGCCAUUUUUUUAAAAAAAGGAAGAAAAACCCUCAGGUUAUUUCUUUCCUUAAAUACUCUGUGUAGUUUGAAGCAGCCAGCCCACUCCCCAGGUUUCAUAUUCCUUACUCUCGCCACAGUGUUUUAUCUGAGCAGCCACUCUGUCCUCCAAAGCCUUACCUUCACUGUAGGUGACAACAGGUGAUAAGUAUUGUCAUUGUGGGACAUGGACUUCCAGAAUACUAUCUCCUGAUGAUAACAGGACCACUGAUGCCUUCAGAUCCAACCGGAUCAGAUGUCCAACCUCAGAUUCUCAUUUCCUGCUUGCCGCCAUGCCGGUAUUAAUCACCUGUUGCUGAGGGUUAAUUACAGAGAACAAUCUAACGCGUUGAAGCAGAGAGGAAUGUAAUAAAAGAUGCUGAAGACAAA
Molecule: long non-coding RNA, 3163 nt
Organism: Myotis daubentonii (Daubenton's bat)
Lineage: Eukaryota; Metazoa; Chordata; Mammalia; Chiroptera; Vespertilionidae
Exons: 2
Source: RefSeq, a predicted model, not a curated record